AGAGUUUGAUUAUGGCUCAGGAUGAACGCUGGCGGCGUGCCUAACACAUGCAAGUCGAACGGACUUAUAUUGAAACCUAGUGAUUUAUGAGUUAGUGGCGGACGGGUGAGUAACGCGUGGAAAACCUGCCGUAUACCGGGGGAUAACACUUAGAAAUAGGUGCUAAUACCGCAUAAGCGCACAGCUUCGCAUGAAGCAGUGUGAAAAACUCCGGUGGUAUACGAUGGUUCCGCGUCUGAUUAGCUAGUUGGCGGGGUAACGGCCCACCAAGGCAGCGAUCAGUAGCCGGCCUGAGAGGGUGAACGGCCACAUUGGGACUGAGACACGGCCCAAACUCCUACGGGAGGCAGCAGUGGGGAAUAUUGCACAAUGGGGGAAACCCUGAUGCAGCGACGCCGCGUGAGUGAAGAAGUAUUUCGGUACGUAAAGCUCUAUCAGCAGGGAAGAAAAGGAACUAAAGUUCCCAUGACAGUACCUG
This 478-nucleotide ribosomal RNA is filed under the name uncultured bacterium. RNAcentral describes it as "bacterial SSU rRNA". It matches the Rfam family "Bacterial small subunit ribosomal RNA", at positions 8 to 481 of the family's 1533-position model. The record is from RNAcentral.